Molecule: transfer RNA, 1193 nt
Filed under: Physeter macrocephalus (sperm whale)
Lineage: Eukaryota; Metazoa; Chordata; Mammalia; Artiodactyla; Physeteridae
Description: Physeter catodon (sperm whale) lncRNA (ENSPCTG00005014693.1)
Rfam family: tRNA (bases 1046-1118)
Source: RNAcentral
AGCAAAGACAAGGAACAGGCACCCUUGCUCACUCCCUGAGAGGAGCUGCUUGUGUCCUUUAAUGGGGUAACAAUGGGAGCAGAUCCAUGGGUUGGGCAGGAGGCGUAGCCUAGGUGGUCAGCCCACCCCCUUGGUGGUGCUGUGUACCAUGCUUUUGCUCCCAGACCCUCAGAAACGGCAGUUGGUUUGUGGUUUUUUGUAUCCUAUUGUUCAUAAUUGCCCCAACUGCGUGUGUGUGCAGUUAUUUUUAGUCCCUUACAGUUUCAUUGUAUUCCGUUGCUCAAGGAGAUGUCUGUCCAGGUGCAAGCACUCUGGUAGAGGGUCCCAGGUCCCAGCCUAUCUCAGAAGGACCCAUAGGACACUUCUGGAGAAACGAAGGCAAUGAAUGGCCUCAGGGGUGACCAGCUGCAGUGUCAGAACUGCAGCGUAUGCAGAGCUGUGAACCCAGACAUUCUAGUCUUCUACUUUCUUUGCGUGCAUGUGAAAGUGAAGGGCAGAGAUGGUAGUGGAGACUGGGUUUUGACCAAUCUUCAAAAAAGAGCAGAUAUCUCAGGCACCCCUUUCCCUGGCUACUGUCAUUCUCCACAGAAGUCAUGUAAGAAGGAGAGAAUUGCUGCUGCACAUCAAGAAAUCAAAUUCAAGGUUUACUCUCCAGGUAUAAGACCAAGAAGUUAUCUCCAGAGAAGGACAUUUAUGAAGUCAGUUUAUCCCGAUGGAAGAUAAUAGGAGGAAGUAAAACUCUUUGUCUUAAAGGAUCUAUUUUGAGAAAUGAGUGGCAGAGCAAAAGUGAGUUUGAGGGUCAACAGGGACCUCGAGAUAGAUAUUUCAGUCAAAUGAAAAUCAUGUAUAACAUGCCAACAUGUAGAAAACUUAUUCAUCUUUUACUCUGAAUCAGAGAAUUCGUAAUAGUCAGAAACUUUAUAGGGAAUGUGGAAAACCCUUUAGUUGUGGCUCAAAUUUUGUUCAACAUGAGAAAGUUCAUUCUGGUGAUAAACUUUUGAUUGUAAAGAAUGUGGGAAUACCUUUAAUAGUGUCUAUCAGGAGUUCCCUAGCUGUCCAGUGGUUAGGACUCGGUGCUUUCACUGCCGUGGGCCCAGGUUCAAUCCCUGGCUGGGGAACUAGGAUCCUGCAAGCCACGCAGUGUGGCCAAAAAAAAAAAAAAGUGUCUAUCAUCUAAGUGUACAUCAGAAAAU